CCCACCUUCCCCACCAGAUGGUACAUUUGUUACAACGUCCCUACACUGACACAUCAGCUUGCAUUUAGCCCAGUGAGGUCUAUGUUGGUCUUCAGACCUACAGACUGUGAGAUAAUAAUGGAUGUUGUUUCAAGCCACUAAAUCUGUGCUAAUUAUUUUGUGGCAGCAACAGACAACAGAUACUCCACCUCAUACUGCUGUGAGCCUGCAGACCCUCCCAGGAGAAACCCGUCCGGCAGGAAUAAAAGGCGUGAUCAAUGACCAGGCUUCAGAAUGAACAGUUUCCAAGGGAAUAACCUCGAGAAGGGAGUGAUGACAGCUCUCAGGUCACCGUGAAUUUAAACCCACAGAAAGUAAACAUCACUCAGCCGAGCUGGAUUCCUUAUGACCCCAUAGACAGUAAGUAGCUUGCCAGGCCCCUCUGUCCAUGGAAUUCUCCAGGCAAGAAUACUGGAGUGGGUUG
Molecule: long non-coding RNA, 463 nt
Filed under: Capra hircus (goat)
Lineage: Eukaryota; Metazoa; Chordata; Mammalia; Artiodactyla; Bovidae
Description: lncRNA (ENSCHIG00000002388.1)
Source: RNAcentral